RNAcentral lists this ribosomal RNA (499 nucleotides) under uncultured bacterium. Its description in RNAcentral is "partial 16S ribosomal RNA". It matches the Rfam family "Bacterial small subunit ribosomal RNA", at positions 28 to 507 of the family's 1533-position model. The record is from RNAcentral.
GACGAACGCUGGCGGCGUGCCUAAUACAUGCAAGUCGAGCGAAGUUUUUCUGGUGCUUGCACCGGAAAAACUUAGCGGCGAACGGGUGAGUAACACGUAAAGAACCUGCCUUAUAGACUGGGACAACUAUUGGAAACGAUAGCUAAUACCGGAUAACAGCAUUAACUGCAUGGUUGAUGUUUGAAAGUUGGUUUUGCUAACACUAUGAGAUGGCUUUGCGGUGCAUUAGCUAGUUGGUGGGGUAAAGGCCUACCAAGGCGACGAUGCACAGCCGACCUGAGAGGGUGAUCGGCCACACUGGGACUGAGACACGGCCCAGACUCCUACGGGAGGCAGCAGUAGGGAAUCUUCCGCAAUGGGCGAAAGCCUGACGGAGCAACGCCGCGUGAGUGAAGAAGGAUUUCGGUUCGUAAAGCUCUGUUGUUAGGGAAGAAUGAUUGUGUAGUAACUAUACACAGUAGAGACGGUACCUAACCAGAAAGCCACGGCUAACUACGUG